GAUCGCUGUGACGACUCACAAAUUUUCAAGCUCAACAGACCGGAAAGCGGGUUUCUUUAUAUUUCUAUGGAGAUUCUCGCGUGUCGAUAACCCCGCUGAACCGAGCGAUC
Small nucleolar RNA from Coffea eugenioides, 110 nucleotides. RefSeq annotates it as small nucleolar RNA Z107/R87. The record is from RefSeq and is a predicted model, not a curated record. The transcript has a single exon. Lineage: Eukaryota; Viridiplantae; Streptophyta; Magnoliopsida; Gentianales; Rubiaceae.